RNAcentral lists this ribosomal RNA (643 nucleotides) under Mycobacterium simiae. RNAcentral's name for it is "bacterial SSU rRNA". It matches the Rfam family "Bacterial small subunit ribosomal RNA", at positions 57 to 715 of the family's 1533-position model. Lineage: Bacteria; Bacillati; Actinomycetota; Actinomycetes; Mycobacteriales; Mycobacteriaceae. The record is from RNAcentral.
GCAAGUCGAACGGAAAGGCCCCUUCGGGGGUACUCGAGUGGCGAACGGGUGAGUAACACGUGGGUAAUCUGCCCUGCACUUCGGGAUAAGCCUGGGAAACUGGGUCUAAUACCGGAUAGGACCACUUGGCGCAUGCCUUGUGGUGGAAAGCUUUUGCGGUGUGGGAUGGGCCCGCGGCCUAUCAGCUUGUUGGUGGGGUGACGGCCUACCAAGGCGACGACGGGUAGCCGGCCUGAGAGGGUGUCCGGCCACACUGGGACUGAGAUACGGCCCAGACUCCUACGGGAGGCAGCAGUGGGGAAUAUUGCACAAUGGGCGCAAGCCUGAUGCAGCGACGCCGCGUGGGGGAUGACGGCCUUCGGGUUGUAAACCUCUUUCAGCAGGGACGAAGCGCAAGUGACGGUACCUGCAGAAGAAGCACCGGCCAACUACGUGCCAGCAGCCGCGGUAAUACGUAGGGUGCGAGCGUUGUCCGGAAUUACUGGGCGUAAAGAGCUCGUAGGUGGUUUGUCGCGUUGUUCGUGAAAACCGGGGGCUUAACCCUCGGCGUGCGGGCGAUACGGGCAGACUGGAGUACUGCAGGGGAGACUGGAAUUCCUGGUGUAGCGGUGGAAUGCGCAGAUAUCAGGAGGAACACCGGUGG